Molecule: ribosomal RNA, 497 nt
Filed under: uncultured bacterium
Lineage: Bacteria
Description: partial 16S ribosomal RNA
Rfam family: Bacterial small subunit ribosomal RNA
Source: RNAcentral
GAUGAACGCUGGCGGCGUGCCUAAUACAUGCAAGUCGAGCGAACGGACGAGAAGCUUGCUUCUCUGAUGUUAGCGGCGGACGGGUGAGUAACACGUGGAUAACCUACCUAUAAGACUGGGAUAACUUCGGGAAACCGGAGCUAAUACCGGAUAAUAUUUUGAACCGCAUGGUUCAAAAGUGAAAGACGGUCUUGCUGUCACUUAUAGAUGGAUCCGCGCUGCAUUAGCUAGUUGGUAAGGUAACGGCUUACCAAGGCAACGAUGCAUAGCCGACCUGAGAGGGUGAUCGGCCACACUGGAACUGAGACACGGUCCAGACUCCAACGGGAGGCAGCAGUAGGGAAUCUUCCGCAAUGGGCGAAGGCCUGACGGAGCAACGCCGCGUGAGUGAUGAAGGUCUUCGGAUCGUAAAACUCUGUUAUUAGGGAAGAACAUAUGUGUAAGUAACUGUGCACAUCUUGACGGUACCUAAUCAGAAAGCCACGGCUAACUACGUG